This is a long non-coding RNA of Sardina pilchardus (European sardine), 1012 nucleotides long. RefSeq lists it as uncharacterized. The record is from RefSeq and is a predicted model, not a curated record. Lineage: Eukaryota; Metazoa; Chordata; Actinopteri; Clupeiformes; Clupeidae. The transcript is spliced from 4 exons.
UACAAAUAGCCUAGGCUACUCCAGUAUUUGAAUAAAUGCCCACUGCAGUUUUACCCUUGUCUCACCUAUAUAUGUCUAUGAAUUGCAGUAGUGAUAAAAAAUGAAAAAGGAAAUGAAGGUGUCCUGAUGUGUUGUUUAGGGAUGAUGGUCCUGCAAUGUUUCUAUACGUAUCUUGAUGUCUUUUUUUUGUUUUCAUUUCAUCAUGUUUUCACAGAUCCUUGCUCCUGAUAUCCUGAUGUGUGGGUUUCAUUAAUGUGGCCUUUAUGACUCCAACAGAACACUCACAGAAAGGAGAGCAGUGUCAUACUACAAGAUAGCCAGCAACCCUAGGUUUGGCUACUCAUUUGUCUACUUCCUGAAGAGGAGCAUGCUAGCCUUGACACCUCAGUCCUUUCUUCCAUUAACAGCUGUGUUAUGGAGCGCAUCCUCACAUCAUGGUCUACUGCAGCAGGUGGAUACAGAAGACAAUUGGUCCAAACCAUCUUGAGGCCUUUUGGACAGAGGAGAGGAUGACCGAGCUGGUUAACCUCUACAUAAAUAGACACAUGUCAAGUGGGUUUAUCGAGGCCCAAAUAUGCUGAGGAAUACAGGCUGCCUGGGUGGCCUAAGGAGUUGCCUUUCACUUCAGUCAGUGACGGAAAAGGUCAAGGACGUAAGGCUUUUACAGCUGAAAAGCUGAUACAGCUUGUGCAGUCCUACAAUGCACAUGUCAAUGAUCAGCUGUUUGUUGAGGCAGCAGCAGCAGGAGCAGCACCAACAACAGAAGCAGCAGCAGCAGCAGGAGCAGCACCACCAGCACUAUAAACGCCAUCAGCAGCAGCGGCAGAUUAUAAAGAAGGAUAACAAUGAAUACAUGAAAUCAGAGUGGGAAGUUGUGCUUUUAUGUUUCAUAUACUGUAUAUAUAUGCACCUUACUUGAGUGUCUCUACAAUUUAAUUAUACUGCAAUGCAAUUAAAAUAAAGGCAUUCAUUUAAUUAAUUUGUCAUUUCAGUUUGUAUUAUUACAUUCAUU